RNAcentral lists this ribosomal RNA (484 nucleotides) under uncultured bacterium. Its description in RNAcentral is "partial 16S ribosomal RNA". It matches the Rfam family "Bacterial small subunit ribosomal RNA", at positions 30 to 507 of the family's 1533-position model. The record is from RNAcentral.
AUUGAACGCUGGCGGAAUGCUUUACACAUGCAAGUCGAGCGGCAGCACGGGGGCAACCCUGGUGGCGAGCGGCGAACGGGUGAGUAAUACAUCGGAACAUGCCCAGUCGUGGGGGAUAACACUUCGAAAGAAGUGCUAAUACCGCAUACGUCCUGCGGGGGAAAGCGGGGGAUCGCAAGACCUCGCGCGAUUGGAGUGGCCGAUGUCAGAUUAGCUAGUUGGUGGGGUAAAGGCCUACCAAGGCAACGAUCUGUAGCUGGUCUGAGAGGAUGAUCAGCCACACUGGGACUGAGACACGGCCCAGACUCCUACGGGAGGCAGCAGUGGGGAAUUGUGGACAAUGGGGGCAACCCUGAUCCAGCCAUUCCGCGUGAGUGAAGAAGGCCUUCGGGUUGUAAAGCUCUUUCUGCAGGAACGAAACGGUGAGCUCUAACAUAGCUUGCUAAUGACGGUACCUGAAGAAGAAGCACCGGCUAACUACGUG